This is a long non-coding RNA of Lytechinus variegatus (green sea urchin), 203 nucleotides long. RefSeq lists it as uncharacterized. The transcript has 3 exons. NCBI's taxonomy places the organism in Eukaryota, Metazoa, Echinodermata, Echinoidea, Temnopleuroida, Toxopneustidae. The record is from RefSeq and is a predicted model, not a curated record.
CUAGGAGAAGAAUUUUUCUGUAGUGACACCUUGAUUAGCAACCGAAAAUGCCGGAAGGAUCAGAACUAGAGCAAGAAAAUAUGGAACAAGUAGAUAAGGAGGUGAUGAUAUAUGCAUUACGAUCCACGCUGGAAAAUGCAGAAGAUGGGACCAUCAGGAAAGAAGAAUAUCACUUUAAGUUAGUGACUAAGGAUUUUGGGCAA